AGAGAAAUUUUCAAAAUUGAAAAGAAAUCACUCAUAAAGCGACAAGUGGCGAGGGAGUAAUGAAAUUGAAACUUAAAAUAACCCUCAUUUCUCUCUCUUGAAAAAAAACUCCAGAAGAAAAAACCAGUAAAUCAACUCUCUCUCCUCUCACUCCUAUUCACCUUCUUUUUUAAAAAAAAUAAAAUAAAAAACAGCUUCAUGUUUCAAGCCAAACCUUUCAUCUUAUCAUCCCACACAAACAUUAAAGAUCAACAUCUUUUGUGAAUAACGAUGGAUAUCAAUGUAAUGAAAUAGAAAGCAAAGAUCAACGGAAAGAGGGAAGAAAAAAAAAGGGUACCAUACUGAAGCAAGGUGGUUGUUGUUGUUGAAGGAAGAGAAGAUCUGGAGACGUGAGGGUCGUUUGGAGGUUGUUGUUCAUUAGCCGGAGACAGAAAUGCGUUUGUUAUAGGUUCAUGUGUUCUUGUGAUAUGGUGGAGUUUUAUGAAAUGUUGUGUUUAAAAAUGGAGAAUGAAGGUGUUCAUCAUGAAUAAUAAACUUCUUCAAAUUUUUACAUCUUCAUGUUCAUUUUUGGUGAGAUCAAAGAAAGAAAAUGUGUGGUGUUUACUGGGUAGUUUAUUUCGUGUUUCUUUUGAAAAAUCUUUUUUUGUGAUGUGUAUCUCUACGUUAACCUCUCUUCUGUUGUUAUUAUGAAGAAAAAAUUAAGUCUUAAAAAACUCCUUUUUUCUUUUUGAUUUUCUCAUCCCAGAUUAUGUGGGAUUUGAUCUGUUCUUGUUUAAGCCAUUGUUGUAAUGCCUUUUCAGAUGUUCCAAUUAAUCCUCUAGAUAAAGCUUCAAACUGAGUGAUUUAUUAGUUGUUUUUUUAGUUUUUUAAGUGCUUUUAAAAUAAGCUGUUUUGGUCUCUGCAGGUUACAACUGUGAGGUGGUUUUGAUGGAAUGGGAAGAAAGAGUAGGCUGUAAAUUAGGGACCUUUUUGCAGCAAAUUUCAUUUAGUUGAGAUGUAACUAUUUAGUUUAAUUUUUUUUAAGGACAAAAUGUGUGUUUGGAUUAUUUGGGACUUAUUGAAUUAAAUUUUAAUUAUGUAAUUACCUUUUAAGUUUUUCAAAAUUUAACUCAAUAUUUAUUUAUGCUAAUCAA
Molecule: long non-coding RNA, 1133 nt
Filed under: Lathyrus oleraceus (garden pea)
Lineage: Eukaryota; Viridiplantae; Streptophyta; Magnoliopsida; Fabales; Fabaceae
Description: Pisum sativum (pea) long non-coding RNA (PSAT_LNC015010)
Source: RNAcentral